CCUACGGGUAGCUGCAGUGGGGAAUAUUGCACAAUGGGGGAAACCCUGAUGCAGCGACGCCGCGUGAGUGAAGAAGUAUUUCGGUAUGUAAAGCUCUAUCAGCAGGAACGAGACAAGACGGUACCUGACGAAGAAGCACCGGCUAACUACGUGCCAGCAGCCGCGGUAAUACGUAGGGGGCAAGCGUGAUCCGGAAUCACGGGGUGGAAAGGGAGCGUAGACGGCUGUGCAAGCCUGAAGUGAAAGGCGGGGGCCCAACCCCGGGACUGCUUGGGGAACUGUACGGCUGGAGUGCAGGAGAGGUAAGUGGAAUUCCUAGUGUAGCGGUGAAAUGCGUAGAUAUUAGGAGGAACACCAGUGGCGAAGGCGGCUUACUGGACUGUAACUGACGUUGAGGCUCGAAAGCGUGGGGAGCAAACAGGAUUAGAUACCCUUGUAGUC
RNAcentral lists this ribosomal RNA (441 nucleotides) under uncultured bacterium. RNAcentral's name for it is "partial 16S ribosomal RNA". It matches the Rfam family "Bacterial small subunit ribosomal RNA", at positions 338 to 795 of the family's 1533-position model. The record is from RNAcentral.